RNAcentral lists this ribosomal RNA (534 nucleotides) under Salmonella enterica subsp. enterica. RNAcentral describes it as "partial 23S ribosomal RNA". It matches the Rfam family "Bacterial large subunit ribosomal RNA", at positions 1 to 565 of the family's 2925-position model. The record is from RNAcentral. Lineage: Bacteria; Pseudomonadati; Pseudomonadota; Gammaproteobacteria; Enterobacterales; Enterobacteriaceae.
GGGUUGUGAGGUUAAGCGACUAAGCGUACACGGUGGAUGCCCUGGCAGUCAGAGGCGAUGAAGGACGUGCUAAUCUGCGAUAAGCGCCGGUAAGGUGAUAUGAACCGUUAUAACCGGCGAUUUCCGAAUGGGGAAACCCAGUGUGACUCGUCACACUAUCAUUAACUGAAUCCAUAGGUUAAUGAGGCGAACCGGGGGAACUGAAACAUCUAAGUACCCCGAGGAAAAGAAAUCAACCGAGAUUCCCCCAGUAGCGGCGAGCGAACGGGGAGGAGCCCAGAGCCUGAAUCAGCAUGUGUGUUAGUGGAAGCGUCUGGAAAGGCGCGCGAUACAGGGUGACAGCCCCGUACACAAAAGCGCAUGUGCUGUGAGCUCGAUGAGUAGGGCGGGACACGUGGUAUCCUGUCUGAAUAUGGGGGGACCAUCCUCCAAGGCUAAAUACUCCUGACUGACCGAUAGUGAACCAGUACCGUGAGGGAAAGGCGAAAAGAACCCCGGCGAGGGGAGUGAAAAAGAACCUGAAACCGUGUACGU